GAUCUUUAGCAUCUAAAAGAAGCAAUUGACUCAUGAUAGCAUCAGCGACGAAAUCGUCGAUACUACUACCAAGAAAGACGAUUCGUUCCCUAAGAAGAAGACCCAUGACGUCAGAUUCAGCUCCGCGAAUAGCUGAUUCCUGUGUCUGUGACAUCUCGAUUGAAGCAUUGGCGAAUCUCAAUGGCGACGGAGAAGUUGUUCUGAGAGGUGGUGAAAUGAGUUUGGUGGGUUUGAGGUAGAGAUUGUUUGGUUUAGGAAACGAAGAAGAAGAUGCAGAGGAAGAUGAAUUGAGUCUUGAUGAAACGAGAGAAGGUUUUAGAGAAGAGGAGAGAGAUAGGGUUCCCAUGGCUGAAGCAAAGAAGAAUAGAGAAAUUUGGGAAAAAUGUGGAUUUGAUAAAAAAACAAACUCCUCCUUCGGAAGAAGAAAGAAACACGCGAGAAAAUGACCCGACCCGGAAUUUAACCGGGUCAAUUCCGGGUCGGGUUAUUAUUCUAAAUUGGACUACUUAAUCAAGUUACGGUUUAUUGGGCCCUGGCCUAUUUUAGUAUGCGAACCAGACCGAAUUGAGUUCGACGAAAGCACACCAAACCAAACUACUGUAUGUUAAUUUAAACCCGUAUCUAAUCAAAACCGAAUUAUGUCAAACGUUCCAAAGCUAAUCAACUGAAUUAAACAAAAAAAUUAGACGUUAAUUGGACGUUGAAAUAAUUUUCUGGUUAUAAAAACUUCCCGGUGAAAAAAAACAAUUUGAUUUUAUAACAAUAGCUUCAACUAAUCACACAAAUGACAAAGCCAAACCAAAUGAACCAAAAUCCUUAUCCAACUAACCCCAUUGUUUCACAGUCUGUUGUUUGUAUAAUACAUACACUUUUCAAAGAUGUUGAACACAUUAUACAAACGGAGAUAGCUUUGAUAUGAUUCACACAAACAAGAAAAGACAACCAAACAAAGCAUAUAAACAAAAAGAAAGUAUCAUUAACCUUUUGUGUACCCAAUAUGAUAUUUCUUCAACGUUCUUCAUCGGUUUUCUUGGUCUUCUCAAGUUCAAGCAAAUAAAUCUUCUCAGCUUCUGGUACAGCCAUGGUUAAAGCUCGAAGCCUAUGGUUCAAGUCAUCAAGCUUGUUCAUUACCCUAUCGUUUGUGAACAUUCCCAUACAAACACUCUUGAUCGUGUCCCAACUUUCGACCAAUGGCAAACCAAUGAUCACAAUGGAUCCUAUAGUUCCCCAAGCUACCGCCACAAUUGCCCAAAACCAGAAAUAUCCUCUACUAAACACACCUGCAUGCAAAAAAAAUCAAAAUUUUGAUUGAUGUUCAUGAUUUAGGCUCUCUUGUUAGUAACCAAUUUUUGAACAAGGUUAACUUAAAUUCAAAAAAAAAAAACAAAACCAAAAAAAACGAUUUAUAUGGGAAGACUUACGUGCUGGGAGAGAGAGAACUGGCCAAAUGAUAACAAUGAGGACAGUGAAGACAAGACCCCAUUUCACAAUCCAAGCUUUGGCUCUUCUAAGCUUCUCUUCUCUUAGUUCUUCGGCCGGAACAUCAACUUCUUCGUCCCCUGAAGCAUCAGCUUCCACUACUUUGAUCUCCCUCGUCGUCGACCAAUCGUAAUUUUGUGGCCGGAGUAGACUACACACCGCAUGGAUCAACCCUCCUAUAUAUUAUUUACACGUACGGACCAAAACAAACCAAGAUUAGGUCUUUGUUUAUGUUUUAAACCAUUAUAAUAAAAAUCUAAAUAAUUUAUGUCAAGCUAAACCGAACUGACUGAACUAUAAGAAUCUGACCUGCUAGAAUUGCGACGAGGUUACCAGCUAACAUGGGGCCAUUUUUCCCAGUGCUGUCAAGAUCAACGCGUCCGUACUGUAUCUUUGCGGUAGAAAGCCAAGUAAUGAUCCCAAGAACACAACCCGAGGUGGAUCCAAGAAUUGCACCAAAGGCAUUGGCUUUACUCCACAAGAGCAUGAAAGCUAUAGGAAUGACCGCAGAACCAAUGAGCACUCCCAUGCGAGAUACAUCCAUCCAAGUGAAACACCAGACUUUGUUCUAGACCACUGCAAGAAUCCCCAUGAAACAACCAAAUCCUAGAACCGCGGAUCUUGAGAUUCUCAAGAUUUGUUUACCGGUUGCUCUAGGGUUUAUGUAUGUUCGGUAGAUGUCGUAUGUGAACAGCGAUGAGACUGCAAUUAGCUCGGAAGAACCAGCCGAUGUUACAGCCCUAAGGAUCAACAAAGACCGUAAAUUAAACUCAUGAUUUGCAAUAAGCAUAUAUCUUUGUAUGUUAACUAGCUAGGUUUAUUGUUUAAGAAUAAACCAAGACAGCUUAUAAAAAAUUUCUUGCUCGUAAAGAAAGAGGGCUUAUGAUUAGGGUAAAAAUGGGAUUCUUGCUUGUAGGUAUGCGUAUUUGAACUAAACGAACCAAACUGAAUUGAAUUAAUUGAAUCAAACCGGAUCAAAUUGACUAGUUAGUUGGUUACUGAACAAAAUUUUGAAAACGAAAACUUAUUUGUAACAAAUUUUUGUAACCGAUCCAAAAACUAAGCGACCUAAAUCAGACCAAAAUUUUGUUAAACUAAACCAGUGAUGCGUUAAAAAUGAUUCCUAAAAAUCAAUUGAAAGAACUAAAUAAAGUAAAUCAGAUACCCAAACAUUUGUGCUAAAAACUUAUUUAUAUAUAUAUAUAUAUAUAUGAUUUAGAGAGAGUGUACUUACAUGAACAGCAUAGUGAGAAGAAGCAAGGAUCCUGAUUUACCCAUGAGAGCAAUGGCUGUGGCAGGCGGAACCAAACCUCUGUCAGCCUCAUCCUUAGAUAUAGGCAAGUCAAGGGCUAGUGCGCCGAGACCUAACGAGGUAGCUAGAGAGAAAGGUACAGCAAACCACACGAGUCCACCAAGCAAAUACCCUUUGUGGGUUGAUGAAGGUCGAGCAGCUAUUGCACUCACCCAAUAACCCUAAACAACAUAUAACAUUUCAUUGUUAAUUAUUAGUAUUUAGUAUAAUCCGUAAAAUAACUAUUUCAACUUUUUGUUUAAGGAUUUCAUCCCAUCCAGAGUUUUCAUGAUUUACGACUUCGCCAUUUCUAAUCAUGAUAUGAUCUUGAAUGGGUGUAGUUUAUUAUGACUUUUUGGAUUUUGUUACUAAAUAAACAACUAAACAUACUUAUAAUAAUCCAGCUACUUUUUAGAAAUUUGAUUUUCUUAAAGUCUCCUAAAAACCAGGGAAAAGUUUUUGCUUUCUUUACUCUUUCUAGUUUCUAUAUGCAAAAACCAAAAACUCUUCAACUGGUGUUUGAUAUUAAAAUCCUAUGGCAAAAACUAAAACUAAAACGAAAACCAAAAGAUAAUUAAACUAAAAUACUUCAUUGUAAAGAAAUCAUCUUACAUUGUCUACGAAGACAGUGCCGAAGUUUCCGACAAUGUUGAUGAGACCAAAGACAGCGCCGCCAGAGCUCAACAUGGUGAGAUAGGAGCCUCUGUAGUUGCCAUCCACCGGACCGCAAGCUUGAUCGUGGUGCGAGAGCGGCUCGGUGCAUGACCUUGACUUAGCGACCAUAUCUCUUAGUCGGUCAUAGACCACGGACGGACUCCCAAGCUCACUACUCGAUGUGUAGACCAGAAACACAAAAACGACUAGAGCCACGUGAACUGAAAACAAACGAAUAUGAUCAUACAAAGAUAGUAAAACAACAAUUUAUUUUAAGGUCUCUCUCAUUUUGUAUUAGGGUAGCAAAGCAUUAAUUAUUUACGGUUACAUAUAGAAAUAAUUUUAGUUUCAGCCAUAAUUGUUCGUAAAAAUAUCAUACUUAAGAUAUAUAAUUAAAAUGUAAUUUACCUAUAACGGAGUGAACGUAGCUUGCGAGGAAAGUAGCUUUAAGUCCUCCGGCCAAAGUAUAGACAACGACGCCGAGAGGAAUAAGAAAGCUUGCAGCGUAUAGAUUCACUCCGGUAAGAGCAUUCACCACAGCCGAGCCACCGAGCAAGAGCAUCGCCGUCACAAUGACGUUUGUCGCCAAACAAAACACCAAAAACACUAUAUGUGUUGCGGUUCCCCAACUAAUUUUAUCAAUAACAUACAAAACAAAUUAACAUCUAACUAAUAACAACCUAAAAUUAAUGCUCGAGCAAUUUGCUCUACUGUUUCGGAAAUGUUAUCAAAAAACCAAAAUUUAUUGGCCCUUAUAAUACUUAUUCUGUUUAGUUUGGUACACGAAGUAUUUUAAUUUGUUUGAUUGAGUCGGGUUUUUAUUCAACAAAUUUGAAAAUUAACCCAAAAUAAAUAAAUUUAAGGUAUACUUAUAAAAUUAGUAUUAUAAAUAUUUAAAUUUAUUUAAUAAUAUUGACUAAGCAAAUAAAAAAUAAUUGUUGGUUUAAUUUGAGUUAGUUCGGUUUUACAUACCGAGCCUUCACGAUUUCGCAGACCGUGUGAGCAUUGGGAGCCUUUCUUUUAAUCUCAAUCGCCAUCACACCAAACAACAGCACCUACUUCGUUCAUCAAUCAUCAUCGAUUAUUCAUUAUGCAUAUAGAAACAAAAUUUAUAUUAAUGUAUAGUUUUUGUUUUUGGAAUUACCUGUAUGGUGGCUCCACUAGCGUACCAAAACGGUCCACUAACCCCAUACUGCCAUGCUACGUUUGAACUUUGCAGUAUGGUCGCAGCCCAUGUCCACUAUUCACUCAUCGACCAACAUAUUUAAAUCAAUACAUCAAAGAACAUCGAGUGUUUUAUAACUUUAUAUCAUCAAUUGUCUUAUACUUACCUGUGACACAAUGACACUUGCAAUGAGUCCUGUCUUAACGUUUCUUCCGGCUGUAUUGAACCAUUCCGAGGUAUGACGAGCUCCCACAUAUCGUUUUUCUAGCCAUACCUUCAUUCAUUUAGUCAGGAAUAUAUCAUGGAUGAUCAUGGUGGACUUAGGAAAAUAUUCUAUUCAAAAAACUGAACUGAACAAUUGAUUAAAAUUCAGUUCCAAUACAAAAUCAAACCAAUCUAAUAACUAUAUAUCUGUUUAGCUUGGUAUAAUUGUAUAACCAAAAAAAAAAAAUUUAAAAAAAUACUGAAUGGUCUGAACCAAAAUCGAUAUGAAAAAACUGAAUUUAAGACUCCUAUAGUGAAGUAUUGCACUCAACCAGAUUAAGAAACUGUGUGUUUGAUUAGUUUUUAAUGCUAUGCUCUAUUUCAGUCUUCAGAUGAGUAUUAGAUUAGUUUUUUUUUUUUUUUUGUUUCUUCUUAUAAAGUCAAACUCUUGUAUUUGUUUUGUUUCAUAAUUUUUGAUCAUCCAGAAUUUUCAAAAUACAAGAAAAGAAGAUAUAUAACUAUAAGAGUAUAAUUUAUAAAUAAUUUGGCUACACAAAGUUAUACACUACACGGUCGCCAUAAUAUAUUCAUACUUAAUAGGCCAAAAAAGAUUCUAUCAAGACUUGAUUGAUAUAUACUAUAUAGAUAAUCCGAUUAAUAUCUACUUUAAUAAUUUAAAGUUUUAGAACAAAAAGCCAAAAAAAAAAAGAAUAAGCAACGUCUAGUCUGGUAUUACUAAACAAUGAAAAUUAGUAUCUUUUGUUUUAUUGGUAGUACAAAUCAUAGAAGAGAAUAUAUCUACUCUUUUUUUUGUGGUCACGAGCAAAUCACAGAAGUUUUCUUGCUUUUCAUUAGAAAAUAAUUCGUAAUUCAGAAACAGAAACUAACCAAAAAAGAUGUGAAGAUGGCAAAGAAAGCACCAAAACCAAGAAUCACGGCGUAGCCAACGCCUUGAUCGAGCACCGUCGUGCCUCCGAAGAAGCUGCUCUGCCUCUGGCAUCCGCCGCCGUCACCAUCGUAAUAUUUGGCAGAGAAAUCGAAAGGAGGACAUGUGGCCAUUCUUCUUCUUCUUCUUCUUCUUCUUUAAGUUUUUAUCGGAUAAGUGAAUUUUCUUAUGGAAUUUGUAGGGAGUGAUAGUUGAAAGAUUCUUCCCUCUUGUAUAAAACUAAUAGCUAAUAGAAAGAAUCUUCAGUUAGAAAGAAUCUUGAUUUAGCAAAACAGGAAUCUUAUAAACUUAUAAAAAAGAAAUUGAAUCUUUUUUUAUUGUUGAGUAACCAAUUCCUAAGAGAUGUAUAAGAGAUGCUACCCACACAAAUGAUCAGAAAUUAAAAUAUUUAGAAAUUGUUACCAUUAUUGGUGAUGAAAUGGGAGAAAGUCAAUAAUUCCGUACUUCAAUAAGUCAAUGAGUUUUGUUUAUUUGCUAUUUAAUGGCUUCCACUUGAAUAAUAAUGAUGUCAUCAGUGAUCUAAGUACUCGUAAGAAACUUAUAAGUUAUAACUUUCAUUUUUUUUACUAGGUCAGUACCUACUUGUUAAUACUUUUUUCAACAAUUAUAUUUGAUGAAAUAUGUUCAGAAAUCUAAAACCGAUGAAACAGAAUUGACAUUAUCUGAAUAUAGUUUGGCACUAACUACUAAAACAUCUAUCUUGGUUACUCGAAAUGCGUGGGAUGUAAGAUAGUAUAAAUUAAGAAUAUAUAUUGAUUCUUGAUUCUCAUGAGCUCGUCUAUGUCUGUGACAAAACGUUUGCUAUUUGUCCCAAAACGUUUGACAAAUUUAUGACUUCAUUGUCACAAAACGUUUGCUAUUUAGGGUUUGCCCAUAAGUUUUAUAUAUUUACGAAUUCACCCCUUAUCUUUUGGUAUUUACAAAAUUUGCCACAUAUCUUUUGCUAUUUACAAAUUUGCCUCAUAGCUUUGACUAUUUACGAUUUUGCCCCACAUCUUUUAAUAUAUACGAUUGUGCCCCACAUAUUUUGAUAUUUACGAAUUCGCCCAAAAUUUUUGAUAUUUACGAUUUUUCCCCACAUCUUUUAGUAUUUACGAUUUGCCCCAUAUCUUUUGCUUUUUACGAUUUUUUCCCCCAUCUUUUGGUAUUUACAAUUUUGCCCCCAUCUUUUGGUAUUUACGAUUUGCCUCACAUCUUUUGGUAUUUUCAAAUUUUCCCUUUAUCUUUCGGUAUUAAUUUGCCCCAGAUAUUUGGUUAUUUACGAAUUUGCCUCUCAUCUUUUGGUAUUUAAGAACUUGCCUCACAUCUUUUGAUAUUUAAGAAUCAGCCCCCCCCCCCAUCUUUUUGUAUUUACAAUUUUACCUCACAUCUUUUUGUAUUUACAAUUUUACCUCACAUCUUUUUGUAUUACGAGUUUGCCCCACAUCAUUGGGUAUUUACGAAUUUGCUACACAUCUUUGGUAUUUACAAUGUUGCCCCACAUCUUUUGGUAUUUACGGUUUUGCCCCCACAUAUUUUGGUAUCAACGCAUUUGCUCCUUACCUUUUGGUAUUUUGCUAUAUUCAUUUCCAGUCAUCGAAUUUGGCCACUGUUCUUGAUUCCUUUUAUCUAAAUUUGAGUUUAAAAUAUAUGGCAGGUUUACCUAGCAAUUUGAUGUUAUGAAACCACCCAGUCUUAUCUAAUCUAGACAUCUUUUUUUCCAUAGUUGAAGUUGCGCUACCAAAAAAGAGGGAGAAGUUUUAUUUUGAAUUGUUUAUCGUUUAUAGAAUCAAUGUUUGAACUCGAAAAAAUUGUAUGAUUUGUUUUUGUCCGACAUUAACUACAACUAUCCUUUUCUUUACCUGUUCUUAAUUUAUUUACCAGUCUCAUCUCUGUAAAUCAAAGGUUCUGAGAUUCUUACACCACUAGAAGAAGCAAUCUCAUUCCCAGAUACUGUUGUUUGUUGUUCUCUAUAAGAUGCCCAAGUAACCAUAUAAAGCCCGCAAAUGAUGAGGAUUCCGCCCAAAAUGCUGCGCAGAGAACGAAAAUUCAAAGUUUUUAUAUGAUCCAAUACAAGAAGAAGAAGUUUGUUUGUGUGUAAAAUUUAAAGACCUUCCGAGAUAGAUCGGGCUGCCGAGGAAAAUCGUUGAUAAAAAGGCGGAUGUUGCAGGCUGAAGAGGAUUGUAUAGAGAAACCAAAGCAGCUCCAAGAAUUUUAUUCGACCAAGUCAAGAGUCCAUAGUUUAGAGCUGACGCAAACACUCCCUGAGGAACAAAAACCGAAAAGAAUAAUAACACAAACUAGUUAGGUGAAUCCGUAUAUACCGAGCUCCAAUCUCUUUGAGUUCCAAGUUCCAAAUCUCCAAUCUUUUGUAUCAAACAAACCGAAAAAAACAUGCUACAUCUCGGUUGUGAAAACUUACUGCGAAUAUAACAGCAAGAACUUCAGAUUGUGUUAAGCUCCAAUCUUUAGGCUCUCUAACAAACAAGAUAGCUGUUGUGAUCAUUAUUGAUGCACCGAAGAAGUAUGAAUACGCAGCAACCGAAAGGUAGGCAGGAUACUUCUUCAAAACCGGUGCUUGGACAGCGAGAAAAGCAGCCAUACACAUACAAUUUCCUAUCAAGCAUAUAACUCCAAUGUGCCAUAGAUCAAACCCAAACCCAAGAAAACUAGAGAUUAACCACCCAUUAGGCUCUGGUUGACUUCUAUCAAUUAUUACACUUUUCACUGAAUCUACUGCAUCUUUACCUCCAAACAAGGCUGGACCACGGAACAAAGCCAUCGCUAUGGCACCCGAAACACAAACAAGAGUACCUCCAACUUUCGUUUGGCCCUCGAUUUUAAACAAGUUCACUUUUUCUGUACUGCAUACAAAGAAGAAGACUAUCAAAUGACUGAAAAUACAAAUUUCACAUUUUACAGUAAUGUUGAAGAAAAUCAUACUCACCCCAUCAUCACAGCCAAAAUAAAUGUAAAGACUGGGAUUGACGGUUGUAUAGCUGCGGCAUAAGUUGGAUUCGUGUACGAUAAACCCAUAAGAAAUAGUAAUUGGUUCCCAAAUAUCCUAUCAAGAUUGAGUUUGAAUGGUAUUAGAACCUUUUUCAUAAACAUGAUUUUAAAGAUUACGAUAUCAGAGCUGAUUACACUUACCCUGCUAAACCAAGAAAGAAGAGUGAAAAGAACACGCUUCUAUUCAUAGGAGGUCUGAUUCUUCUACAAGAUUUAAAAGAGCAAAUCUUGAUCAAAAGACAACAUUUUGGCAAAUCUUGGUCAAAAGACAAAUUUUCCCAUAUCUUGAUCAAAAGACAACAUUUUGGCAAUUCUUGCUCAAAAUAAAAUUUUUGGCAAAUCUUGAUCAAAAGACAAUAUUUUGCCAAAUCUUGAUCAAGAGAGUAAGAGAAUAAAAACCCUAACUCCAAUUCAAGAAUGAUCAAGAUAUAUGUUGAUUUUGCCGCAUAUAAACUCACCAAAUCAAUCAGAAAUUGCAUUGACCAAAUAAAAAUGUGAUUCAGAACCAGAAGACACUUCACAGAUUCAAACAAUUCAAGCAAAUUGAGAAAGAAACAGAAAGAUUUUGGAAAAAAAUAGAACCUUUCACGGAAAAAAGCGAGAGGUGCGAGAAUUGAGAGAGCAAGAAGAUCGCGAAAGACACAAAAGACGAGCUGAUUAACACCAACGUUAAGAGCUACUUUCGUAAUCACAUGGUAACCUCCAUUUAUGACCUGAACCAAUGUCAUUGCAGAGUGAGCCAUUCGUGUUUCUCUCUCCGUCGCAUCGCCGCCGUUAACUAUCGCCGGAGCUGCCAUGUUUCUUCUCUACCUCCGAAUCGAAGAAGAAGAAGAGAAGAAACACCUGUUGACUAAGAAGAAAUUGAGAUCCUUUGAUUUGCUUUGUAAUAAUUCUAUCUUCUCUGGUCUUUGUAGUCGUUGGUCUUCUUCAAUUUGUUAACUAUGUUUUUUUAAAGUUAAUACAAAAAAAAAUAGCCAGAUUAUUUUCUUAAUCUAUACAUUAAAGCCUAUCGCACAUUUGUUAAAUAUGUUCAUAUAUCCUACUUUUAAAAAAUGAAAAUUCUGAAAUAUUUCCACACAAAAGAAAGUGUAAUAUAUAUUUACAGUUUAAUACUGAGGUUGGUAAAAUAUGUCUUUGUUAUGUAGAUUAGUGGAUGGUAAAAUGAUAAUUUCUUAAUUACUUCAAUUUUUAUCAAAUGAUAUAGUAAUGUGGAAGUCCCAUUGGUCUAUUGGUUGAUCAAGAGUUAAUUAAUGUUUUUACGUCUAAAGGUCUGGAGUUCGAAUAAAUCUGGAUUAAUGACGUCGUUGAGUAAUAACUAAUAAAUCUAGUUAUUACUCAACGACGUAACAGUUAUAGAGAAAACAAAUUAUUAACGACGUCUAUGAGUAAUAACUAAUAAAUCUAGAGAAAAAAAAAAGUUAAUUUGGCCCGAAUAACGUCGUUAAUAAUUCUAAAAAAUGUCGGUAUUUUAAUCACGUUUAGAAAGUUAAUUUGGAUUAAUGACGUUAACUUUAACGAUAAAGGAGGAGGGUUAGGGUUAUGGGCUUAUUAUUAUAUAUAGCCCAUUUAGGUUAUUCGGCCCAUUUAUCAAAAUCAUUCUGCCUGAGUUCGUCUCGAAUCUCACGCCACCGAUUCCCAUCGCCAACCCUCUCGUCUCUCUCUCUCUCUAAUCCCUUCCUUGGCCGCAUAAACGCAACCAUCGUCGCCCGAGCUUUGAUCUUUACCGACUGAACAAUAUGUCUGUUUCCGAUGAGGAAGAUGAGUGUUUCGCUCGAUUCCUCGAAUCAGAAGUCUCAUCGGUAAUUGGUUUCUUCGUUUAUUCAAUUCUUCGAUUUCAUUUAGGGUUUAGUGUUUUUUUUUUUUCCCCCGACAAUCUUUUGGAAUUUAUCGUUGAAUCUGAAACCCUAUCGAAAUUUUUUAUUUUCCCUAAAAAAAAUCUCAUUUUGUGAGAUUUUCGACAACUUAUUAGAUUAUAUAAAUUGGAUUUUUUUCGUGUAAUUCAUAAUUGAUUUGUUUGAUCGAAUUUGGAUUUGGUCGAUCUUACAUGCAUUGUGAAUUGAUGAUUUAGCUCUUGUUCAACAUUUUCAUGUGAAAGGUUAAAGUUUUAUUGAUGCUUUGGUUUUUGUAGGUAGAGGAUAAAGAAGAAACGAAAGAACCUGAAGCGAAACGGCAACGUAUUGAGAAAGCCGAAACAAAGGCUCUAGAGAAGGAUGAUGAAGAUCAAAAGGAAGAUGGUAACAAAGAUAGAACUGGUGAAAAGAGAAUAGAGAGUGGAGUUUUCAGUAAUGUUCCUACUGAGCUGUUUCGUCAUAUCCUCAAGUUCUUAUCUUCUGAGGUAUAUAUAUACUUCAGACUCAAAUUUUAUUGUGUAGUCAUGAUCUUUGAGGAUUAAUCUUAAUCUAAACUGUUUGAAUGUCAUUACAGGAUCUUGUAUCAUGCUCCUUGGUGUGUAAAUUUCUCAAUUUUGCUGCGGCUGAUGAAUCCUUAUGGCGUCGCCUGUAAGACUCUUCUCAUAUUCCUUAUUGUAGUGGAUAAUGGUGUUUUCAAAAUCAAUACUUUGUACUCAAAAACGAUGUGAUACGGUUAUUGAUUGUGUUUUUUUUUUUUUUAUAUCUGCAGCUACUGUAUCCGGUGGGGUCUAACUCCUCCAACUAGAAAGUUACGUGAAAGUGCUUGGAAGAAGCUUUAUAUUGAUGUGAGUUUCUCACUUGGUUUUCCUUAUAAACUUGUUAGUUAUUUCCAAGUAAUAUUACAUUGUUGAAGAGUAUACAAUGUUAGCUGGAGUUGCUAUUAGAGGUCAGAUCAUAUAGUGAUUCCUUUUUCUUGUCGAAUAUUAGCGUGACGAGCAGGACAUGAUUGAACUUGUCAGAACCUGUCCUUCGGAUUUUAAAGAGUAUUACAUGCAAAUGCAAGCAGCAAAGAGAAGCCAAGCACCUCUUCCGUCCCAGGUAACUAUUUCUAAUUCUCUGUUUAUGUUUAAGCACGAAUCAUCACUUGACGAAUUUACUCAUGUUCUUGCUUGCAAUGUUUAGAUGGUGGAUGACCGGAUAAUUCUUGACAAAACUGUACUUGAACAAGUAUCUCUGUGGAAGAAAAGCAAAGGACUUACCGAUAAGGCUGUCACUGGCCAUAUUUGUUUGGGAACCAAAUGUUCAUACCAUCAGAUUGACGACGUGUUCAUAUGCAAAGAGACGGGAAAUGUUCAUGGUAUGAAUUGAAAUGCUGUAAUAUUGAAAAUUUGUUACUUGUGUUUUGUUGAAACUUACGUAGUUUUUAUUGGGUUUUAUAACAGUAUGCGAUGAUAACUGCAAGGAAGUAAUACUGAGUCCAGAGGAAGACCUCAUGGUGUGUACUAUCUCAGGACUUUGUUCUGAUACUUUGCUCGUACAAACUGAUCCAGACGCAGAUGGGUGUUAUGAAGAAGAAGCUGAACUAGAAGCUGAAGUAUUCAUGGAUAAAAGUCGAUUGGGUACUUAUCUAUCUAUCUCUCUCUCACACACCUCCUUUUCCAUAUAUUCUUAAAUUUUUCAACAUAUAAGUGAACGGUUUGCGUCUUCUUUUCAUCGCAGCACGAGCUUUUGAACUUGGCUACAACUGCGAUGAUGAGCAGGAAUUGGAACGUACCCUGAGGUUCUGCUGAGCAAAAGUCUCAGCCUUUUGUCCAAUUUCAUAAGGCCUACUUUCUGUAAGGUCUUAUCUCUCUCUCUCUCACCUGAUUCUGCUUGUGUUCUAUGGAUGGAAUUCAAUGAAUCAAAUGUAGCUCUUGUUUUUAAUAGUCAGCUUUGUAACUUAUAUACAUAUUAUCAUUGUCUGUGAUCUAUCUACUCUAUUGUCUUUAAAAAAGUGUUACACCUAGUAAUUAAGUUCCAACUUUAUCAGUAAACCCUAUUGAUAACUACUAGUAAUUUGUUCCGGAUAUUGGUUUGCUCAUUAAUUCCUAUAGCCAUUCUUUGUUCAUUUAAAUCAUCUUACAAAUUUGUUCUGCUUAGAACUGAUUUAUGAUGUCAAAUAGAUAGAAGUUCAAAAUGAAGUUUAUAACAAUUUUAUAUUCUAUAAAACUAUACAUCAAUUAUCACCAGUGAUGUGUUUGAAUGAAAAUGAAGUGAUAGUAAUAAAUUUUUGAUUUUAUAGAUAAGUAUAAAGUAUGAAUGGUUUUAGAAAAUCUUAGUAUUUAGUUAGAUUAACAUAACCAUAACUAGAAAAAAUAUUUAUUUUUAGGAUAUUUUUCUUUAAUAAAUCAUUAUACACAUUGCCUAAAAAUCAAAAAAGUACUAAUAAAAUAAAAAAUGUUUUAAUAAGGAUUUUCUGUAGAUUCGAUUCUUUUGCAAAAGUGCAAAUUAAAAGACAUUAUAUAUCCCCUACGUAAAUAGAAUCACGCGUCCAUUGCGCGUUCUUGUAACGCUAAAGAUUUACGUUGGAAAAUGUUCUCAUAUUUCUCUCCUUUGCCCCCAUAGUUUAAUAUAUUUCAUAAACACCCCCACGAGAGAUUAAGACUCGUUCUAAAUUAGUAAAUUGUAUUAAAAACAACAAACAAAAUUUCAAGAAAAUAUUCAAUCUAUAAGCAAAACAUUGGUAGUGUUACAUUUGUCGUUCUUCGUGUUCAAAAUUUGGAUACCUUUGUCAAUUAUGAAAACUCAAGUGUCAGUUUGUGAUUGAUAGUAAAAUACAAGGACUAAAAAUAAAUAUAUACCUUUUUUGGAAAUCGUACCGCGUAAGAAAACAUGUAUAAAUAUCUCCAAGGUCUUAUUUUUCUCUCUACCAAUUUUGUUUCGACAUAUUUCGCGAUUCGUGUCUGGUGAAAAAAAAGCUCUCAUCUUUUUUCUCUUUUAGAUCGUUAGAUCAGAGAUUCCUUUGUUUGGUUCGUGUAUUUCGAACUUGUCUUCUCUCUUGAUUCGAUCGUAUUGAUUAAAAAAUCGUAUUUUGCUGAAAACCUAGAAUUUUUUUGAUUUUUUGUUUGUUUUGAUCCAUGUGUAUGGGAAUAUAGUACGAGUUUAACAAAAAAUAUUAUGAAUUGAGGUUUUUUAUUCAGCGAACUGGGUUUUAUUGUUCAUCUUCGUUUAAUUCGUUUGGCUCUCUCGAGGUCUGAGUAAUAAAGUUUAGAACUUUCCUAUGCUUAGGUUCUUAAAGUCGAGAUCUUUGAUUAGCCUUUGUCCUGUUAUUGAUUUACUGGUUUAUGUAUCAUCUAAUUAUGUCUGCUUGAUCCACUAAAUCUUUAAGUUAAUGAUUGGUUUAUGCAAUUUGAUUGGGAUUAAUAACAUUGAUCUGUGACCUCCUACUAAUCAGUGAUUAAUUACAUUGCUUGGUUAGGUCAUUACUUGAAUUUGGUGUGUCUGUAUGACCCCCUGAGCUUGAAUUUCAUUCUUGGUUUGCCCUAAAUUGAUGUUUUUUGGGAUGUCUUUUUGUAGGUUUUGUUGCUGAUUGAGAAAACAUGGGAGGUGAUAAUGACAAUGACAAAGACAAAGGGUUUCAUGGGUAUCCUCCCGCUGGAUACCCGCCGGGUCUUGGGGCUUAUCCACCUGCUGGAUACCCACAACAAGGUUACCCUCCACCACCUGGUGCUUACCCGCCUGCUGGUUAUCCUCCGGGUGCAUACCCACCUGCACCUGGUGGUUAUCCUCCAGCCCCUGGUUAUGGUGGUUAUCCUCCAGCUCCUGGUUAUGGAGGUUAUCCUCCUGCACCUGGUCAUGGUGGUUACCCUCCUGCUGGCUAUCCUGCUCAUCACUCAGGUACUGAGUUUCUUUUGCUAAUGUUUUAUCUUCUCCGUUGUAGUUUAAUUAGCAGUAUCGUAAAUUUCACUUUACAAAGAUUAAAUCAUAGAAGGUAGAUAGAACAGAGUAUUUGUCUACAUGUUCCUUGCGAAAAUCUGAGAUUUAGUAUCAUAUUGGUUGUUAAAUGUCACUUUAGAAAGAAGUUGAAACAAAGGAUUGCUGAGAUUACAUUGUCGAUAGUGGGAAUGCCUAGUCAAUUGGCUAAAGCACCGGUGACUUCUCUAUCAAAGGUUUUAUGACAAAUUGGUUAUAUUUUAGUUGUCCAAAGAGUGAACAUGUUAAGUGUUCUCAUGUAUAGAACCAUUCAAUUCAAUGUUUGGUAAUUUGAUACGUACUACUAAUCCUUUUUAUUGAUGUGAGUAUCAUAAAGACAACUUCGCUGACUCUAAUAUGCACUAUAAAUUGUUUUUUCCUUGGGUUUUUUUCUUCAUGCAGUUUACCUUUAUACUUGUUACAGGACACGCAGGAGGAAUUGGGGGUAUGAUUGCAGGUGCUGCAGCUGCCUAUGGAGCUCACCACAUAGCUCAUAGCUCUCACGCCCCUUACGGACAUGCUGCAUACGGUCACGGCUUUGGCCAUGGACAUGGCUAUGGCUAUGGUCAUGGUAAGUUUAAGCAUGGGAAGCACGGGAAGUUCAAGCAUGGGAAGCAUGGAAUGUUUGGAGGAGGCAAGUUCAAGAAGUGGAAGUGAUCUAGUUAAUACCUUUUGUGAAUCUCUCUGGACUGACCAAUGUUUCAAAUAAGCCCUAAAACAUUAUUAUAUAAGUUGGCUUUCGUCGGUUAGAUUGCUGGUUCGAGUUGGAAUAAUUAAACUUAAUUAGUAGUAUGAUAUCUUAUUGUGUACUUUGAAGCUAUUUUUGGCUUUAUAAUGACAGAUUCUGCUGGUUUCGGUGUGUGGUUUUUGAGAUUUUUUUGUAUAUAUACUGAUUUUUAAUAUUGCUUAAGCUUAUGGAAGUCAUGAUUAUGAUCAAUUUGUGAUUUAUUUAGUUUCUCAUUUCUUAGUAUGGAGACCAACAAUGGAAUUGGAAUGUAUUCAAUCAUAACAUUUUAAAUGAUUUGAUAUUUGAUAAAUUGUUGUAGUUUGAUAACUUAAUAUUUUAUGAGUUACAAACAUUAUAAUCAAUAACACUAGAUUUUCGAUAACUUAAUUGAUGAAUGAAAGACAUAAGUUUGUCUAGAGGGGUUUAUUCUCUACACUAUAUGCACAAUUAGGGCUAAAUCACGAUGAGUAUAUAUCAACUUAAGUAGGUCCAUCGCAAAUUCUCUAAUCAAGGUUAGCCAGAAAAAAAAUACAGAGAGAUAUGAUUUUAGGUGAGCAUUUGUGGCAAUGAGUUAUGCCACAUAUGAAAGCUCUGUCUUUGUAGUUAAAAACAGAUAGAUGAUUGAAU
Molecule: long non-coding RNA, 15882 nt
Filed under: Arabidopsis lyrata
Lineage: Eukaryota; Viridiplantae; Streptophyta; Magnoliopsida; Brassicales; Brassicaceae
Description: long non-coding RNA (ALYR_LNC000390)
Source: RNAcentral